GCGGGCGUAAUUCAUUGGUAGAAUGGCAGCUUCCCAAGCUGCAUAGGGGGGUUCGAUUCCCCUCGCCCGCUCCA
RNAcentral lists this transfer RNA (74 nucleotides) under Clostridia bacterium. Its description in RNAcentral is "tRNA-Gly". It matches the Rfam family "tRNA". From Rfam's summary of the family: Transfer RNA (tRNA) molecules are approximately 80 nucleotides in length. Their secondary structure includes four short double-helical elements and three loops (D, anti-codon, and T loops). The record is from RNAcentral. RNAcentral also lists the same sequence under 1 other name. Lineage: Bacteria; Bacillati; Bacillota; Clostridia.